GAUGAACGCUGGCGGCGUGCCUAAUACAUGCAAGUCGAGCGAACAGAUGAGGAGCUUGCUCCUCUGACGUUAGCGGCGGACGGGUGAGUAACACGUGGAUAACCUACCUAUAAGACUGGGAUAACUUCGGGAAACCGGAGCUAAUACCGGAUAAUAUAUUGAACCGCAUGGUUCAAUAGUGAAAGACGGUUUUGCUGUCACUUAUAGAUGGAUCCGCGCCGCAUUAGCUAGUUGGUAAGGUAACGGCGUACCAAGGCAACGAUGCGUAGCCGACCUGAGAGGGUGAUCGGCCACACUGGAACUGAGACACGGUCCAGACUCCUACGGGAGGCAGCAGUAGGGAAUCUUCCGCAAUGGGCGAAAGCCUGACGGAGCAACGCCGCGUGAGUGAUGAAGGUCUUCGGAUCGUAAAACUCUGUUAUUAGGGAAGAACAAAUGUGUAAGUAACUAUGCACGUCUUGACGGUACCUAAUCAGAAAGCCACGGCUAACUACGUG
This 497-nucleotide ribosomal RNA is filed under the name uncultured bacterium. Its description in RNAcentral is "partial 16S ribosomal RNA". It matches the Rfam family "Bacterial small subunit ribosomal RNA", at positions 28 to 507 of the family's 1533-position model. The record is from RNAcentral.